AUUGAACGCUGGCGGCAUGCUUUACACAUGCAAGUCGAACGGCAGCGCGGGCUUCGGCCUGGCGGCGAGUGGCGAACGGGUGAGUAAUGCAUCGGAACGUGCCCAGUAGUGGGGGAUAUCCCGGCGAACGCCGGAUUAAUACCGCAUACGACCUGAGGGUGAAAGCGGGGGACCGAAAGGCCUCGCGCUAUUGGAGCGGCCGGUGGCGGAUUAGCGAGUUGGUGGGGUGAAGGGUUACCAAGGUGGCGUUCCGUAGCUGGUCUGAGAGGACGGCCAGCCACACUGGGAGGGAGGCGCGGCCGAGCCUCCUACGGGAGGCAGCAGUAGGGGAUAUUGGAGAAUGGGGGGAACCCUGCUGCAGCAGUGCCGCGGGGGGGGAGAUGGCCUUCGGGUUGUUGACCGCCUUUGUUCGGGAAGAAAUCCUCUGGGCUAAUACCCCGGGGGGAUGACGGUACCGGAAGAAUAAGCACCGGCUAACUACGUG
RNAcentral lists this ribosomal RNA (484 nucleotides) under uncultured bacterium. RNAcentral describes it as "partial 16S ribosomal RNA". It matches the Rfam family "Bacterial small subunit ribosomal RNA", at positions 28 to 507 of the family's 1533-position model. The record is from RNAcentral.